Long non-coding RNA from Tarenaya hassleriana, 361 nucleotides. RefSeq lists it as uncharacterized. The transcript has 3 exons. The record is from RefSeq and is a predicted model, not a curated record. NCBI's taxonomy places the organism in Eukaryota, Viridiplantae, Streptophyta, Magnoliopsida, Brassicales, Cleomaceae.
CCCAUAAACAAAGAACCACGAGGAAGCCUGGAAAGAAACCGGUCCAGGUGACGGCGAUCAGAAUCAGAGAAUAUGCCAUGGAUUAAGAUUCCAGAGUCGUUGGCAAUGGCAUGGCAUCUCUCCCUCCCUGUCGAUUCCUUCAAGCUCCUCUUCUCGCUACAACGGUUACCCACUUUCUCCUCUCUAUUUAUUUCAUCAUCUUCCUCCAGCUCUUUCACGCCAUUCCUCCAGGAAGAAUCUGAACACUCCCGUUUCAGCCUCUGAUGGUAUCUGCUGUUCACGCGGGAAUGAUGGAGAUUUCUAACAGCAUUUGCGAAAGCGCGGAAAAAGAACCAGAACCGAAGAAGGCACAAGAUGUCGC